AUUUGUAUUACGUGCGAAAUUGUUACCAUUUUCGGCUCAAAAAUGGUAACAAUUUCCGCACGUAAUACAAAU
Molecule: microRNA precursor, 72 nt
Filed under: Paramuricea clavata
Lineage: Eukaryota; Metazoa; Cnidaria; Anthozoa; Malacalcyonacea; Plexauridae
Source: RNAcentral